Molecule: long non-coding RNA, 1847 nt
Organism: Loxodonta africana (African savanna elephant)
Lineage: Eukaryota; Metazoa; Chordata; Mammalia; Proboscidea; Elephantidae
Exons: 5
Source: RefSeq, a predicted model, not a curated record
CAGGAACCAGAUUCACCAUCCCACCUGAUACGAUAGGAAUACCAGAGAAAAUAGAUGAAACAGAUUUUUAAGACACUUGUGACCAGGCAUCUGAGAAACAAACAAGGAGGAAUCCAUAAGGUUGAUCUAGUAACCGGGUCUAUGGAGCCUUACUGAGAAUAGGACAUGCAGAUGUUGAAAAGAACAGCAGGCCUGACAGCAGCAGCACUGGCAUUAGCCGGAAGCCUGGCCUAAGGAAAAAGAUUCUGCUUCCUGUAAGUGAAGCAAAUGAUAUGUAAUGCUACGUCGGGACAUAAAUCAAGACAUCCAUGGCAAGAUACAAUGUGGGCUCUUCUGUAACGCGGCAGACCCGUAUCCAGCCAACUCGAAGUGCGCGUUUGCAAGCUCUUCAACGCUGACUCUGUGAAGGCUCAGGCGGAUUUAGGAACUCAUUUUCGUGCUUACCUCAAGCUGUGUUUUUCCGAAACCUGAAUUUUUUUCUUCUCCUAGUUCUCCCUUCUAAUAUUAGUUCUACAAAAUCACCCAAGAGGCAAACCUUACAUUUUUCUUUCUCUCCCACGCUACUCUCAUUCAGCUCUGAUUUCAUACUUCCGGGAGGAUGGACAAGGAGCCCUGUAGUGCAACCCUUAGGUGCUCAAAAGGUUGGUGGUCUGAACCCACCCAGGUGCUCCCCAGGAGAAAAGACCUCGCGAUCUGCUCCGGGAAAGAUUACAGCCUAGAAAGCCCUGUCACACGGGGUCGCUGUGAGUCGGAACUGACUGGAAGGCACCUAGCAACAACAGGAGAGUGCAGCCUCCUGACACGGCUCCUUGACAAUGCCUCUCACACAGCUGUCAGGUUAACCUGCAUCAACCUUACCUGCACAAACCUUCAUAAACGUCUCCUGCCUGAAAUUCAUAUUUAGGGCCUUCUAUUAUCUAACUUCAAGCUAAUUUCAACUGGAUAUCUCCUGUAACAAUUCUAUGCACUGAUCAAAUGAUUAAGAAUAAACCUAGCAGUUAAUUUCAGAAUUUUAAAUGCGUAAUAUUAUUGCUAUUGAGGCAAACAAAACUGAGUUAAAAGAACUACUCUUUCUCACAAUGCUUUCGAAGCAAUAUAAGCUCUCUUUUUGAAAAAAGCAAUGAUGAAACCUUAACUGUAGGUACACCUUUACAAAGGGAACCUGUGCUAAUGAACAGCAUGAAGCACGUUUCUUGGGUCUAGGAGUACUUACUUGGUUCUGACACUAAAUUAUAAAUCCCUGCUUCUUUAUUGACAAUAAAAACUAUAUAAAACAUAUACAACCCAAGGAUCCAAAAAACAACCUAUUGCCUAUAAAAUUAAAUCAGAACAAAGGUCUAAAUUGAAACGAAACUACCUACUACCAUCAGUACAGAUUUCCUAAUACCUUGUCCUACCUUUUUUCACUGAAUAGAGACAAGAACUCUCAUGCUGUCAAAUUAAUGUAUUCCCCAUUCCAACGUAAGCUUUUGGGUUUGUCAAAGAUUUAUGAAACGUCUAAACGGUUGAGAAGUUAAGCACCAGUGGCGUACGAGAUGAAUGACGAUUCACGUAUAGCACCUGUAUUACCUCAGAUGUACCUAACUUAAACUCUCUCAAGAUUGCUGCCUAAACCUCAGGUCUCUGGCUCUCAAAACUAUAAAAAGGCAGAAUCGUUUUUAGGUUUUGAGAUAGUCACCUUAACUUACUACCACCCUUCUGCUCAAGCUUAAAAUAGGCUUGGGUAAGAAAUAAAAAUUCUUCUGCAGUUAAAGCUGAGCUUGGCUUGUCUGCUCACAGUGCUCACCUAAAAACGCAGAGAAAUGAAAAACAGAAAUACGUGGAAGCGUAAGGAUACAUACGUAGUC